GGAUAACCUACCCUUAGGACUGGGAUAACCCUGGGAAACUGGGGAUAAUACUGGAUAGGCAAUUAUUCCUGUAAUGGUUUUUUGUUUAAAUGUUUUUUCGCCUAAGGAUGGGUCUGCGGCCGAUUAGGUAGUUGGUUAGGUAAUGGCUUACCAAGCCUUUGAUCGGUACGGGUUGUGAGAGCAAGAGCCCGGAGAUGGAACCUGAGACAAGGUUCCAGGCCCUACGGGGUGCAGCAGGCGCGAAACCUCCGCAAUGUGAGAAAUCGCGACGGGGGGAUCCCAAGUGCCAUUCUUAACGGGAUGGCUUUUCAUUAGUGUAAAGAGCUUUUGGAAUAAGAGCUGGGCAAGACCGGUGCCAGCCGCCGCGGUAACACCGGCAGCUCUAGUGGUAGCAGUUUUUAUUGGGCCUAAAGCGUCCGUAGCCGGUUUAAUAAGUCUCUGGUGAAAUCCUGCAGCUUAACUGUGGGAAUUGCUGGAGAUACUAUUAGACUUGAGAUCGGGAGAGGUUAGAGGUACUCCCAGGGUAGAGGUGAAAUUCUGUAAUCCUGGGAGGACCGCCUGUUGCGAAGGCGUCUGACUGGAACGAUUCUGACGGUGAGGGACGAAAGCUAGGGGCGCGAACCGGAUUAGAUACCCGGGUAGUCCUAGCUGUAAACGAUGCGGACUUGGUGUUGGGGUGGCUUUGAGCUGUCCCAGUGCCGAAGGGAAGCUGUUAAGUCCGCCGCCUGGGAAGUACGGUCGCAAGACUGAAACUUAA
RNAcentral lists this ribosomal RNA (757 nucleotides) under uncultured archaeon. Its description in RNAcentral is "bacterial SSU rRNA". It matches the Rfam family "Archaeal small subunit ribosomal RNA", at positions 102 to 859 of the family's 1478-position model. The record is from RNAcentral.